RNAcentral lists this long non-coding RNA (3696 nucleotides) under Malus domestica (apple). RNAcentral's name for it is "long non-coding RNA (MDOM_LNC008489)". Lineage: Eukaryota; Viridiplantae; Streptophyta; Magnoliopsida; Rosales; Rosaceae. The record is from RNAcentral.
UUCGAAGCAUUCACGUCUAAACAAGGGUACCAAUAGACUCAGCAGGUUACAAUGAGCAAGAACCUUACCUUUAAAGCUUCGAUGUGCCUGAAAUGGGGAGUUGGAAGCUUGUCCGUACGCAAAAGGGAAAGAGAGAGAGAGUCUGAGAGAGAUGAGAGGGUACGGGAGAGAAGAGAGGGAGUGAGUGUGGUGUGUGUGUGGUCCACGUGGGUCACCAAUCCAAAACCACAAAUAACCUCUAAGUCUCAAUAUGACACACACAUACACUACAGUCUCAACGUCUAAAGAUAAAACCGUCAUUUCAUGUCCUCGAGAAUAAAAUAAUGCACAUCUCCGGACGGGCUGUGACAGAAUGUGAUUGUGUAAAUUCUAGUAGAUAUGAGAAUGUAUCUUAGAUUCUUAUUAGGAGUAGAUUACCUAUUAAAUGUUGUAAUCCUAAAGGGAAAGGUUUUUAUCUAUCCUAUUACUAUAAAUAAAGACACAAUAGGGUGAAUAAAAAACACCUCACAAUUAAAUCACUCUCUCUUCUCCCUCAAUAUUGCCGGCCCCCUCUCUUUCUAAACCAUAGAUCGUUCAAUCAAAUAAGCCUACAACAUAUAUAUAUUUAAUGCAAUUAUUAUUUUAACGAUGAGAUGAUGAUUGUAUUAAUUAUUGUCAUAUGAUAAUUAUAUUAAAUAGAUGUAAAUAUAGUAACCAAUCCUAUAAAAAUAAAGAUUAAAUAAAAAAAAUAAAAGAACUUAAUUUACACCCACUUACGUAAGCAUAUUUAAGGAAAAACUCAAUUAUUUUUUUUUAAUUUUUAAUUUAAACAUAUUGACCAUUUUUCCAUCUCAACAAACUUUCCUCAUUUUGGUAAAUUGGUUAGCUGCCUUGCUAAGGUGGAUAUUUUGACUUUUUGUACUGCUCAUUUUACCCAUGUGAAUAACAAACAUUAAAUUUCUUAAGUAACCAAAAAGGGGAAGUGGAAUGCUACAUGGACUCUUUUAAAGUGAGACUAUCUCUAUCACUUCACAUUUUAACAUCAAUUUCUGUUUAUAACAUUAUAAUGUAAUUUCGUCUCCAAGAAAUUAAGCUUGAAGAGAACUUGACUUGGGGAAGUGCGGAACUUUAUAGAGAGUUGACAACAACCGUUUGUGUUUCUGUAAAAGAAUAAAUAAAUACAAAAUCUAGGAUAUAAGAUACACUAGGAGAAGUAUAAAACUCCAUGUAAAUAUAAACCGUAUAUGCAAAUAGUCUUGUAGGCUCUUCCAGAGUUUUAUCAUAACUCGUAAUUCUUUUAAGGCUAUGUUGCAACAACAUAAUUUAGGUUGAACUAACAAAAGUACUCACUGGGGCAAUAUUUACCAAAUUCAUCUAGAAUAGGUAUUGAGUACAUAUUUUGAGCUCUAGGCUCUAAAUUUUUUUUUUUUUUGAACAAACAAUAUUAACUACACUAAGGGAGUGGGGGAGAGGGUAAGCCUUAUAAUGGGCUAAUAAUAAUAUUGUUCAAAUUCGCCUUUGGCGAGAAUCAAACCUAAAACAUCUGACUUACAAGUGAAGAGGAAUACUACUAGACUAUAGUACUAAGUGACAGCUCUAGGCUCUUAAAGUGAAAUCUUUGAAUAAGAAUUUCAUGGAAUUCUCUAUUCUUUAUAAAAUUGCUUCAAAAAAGAUAUAAAAAUGAUAAUCUCAAGUAGUAUGCAAUUUGCACAUGCUAUGAGCCUCAUGUUUAAAAUGACACUGUAUUUAUAGAUGUGUUUACGAUUAAAAUAGUAGACUAUAUCUCUAUUAAGAAGCUUGUCAUAGUGAUUUUAUUUCACUUCAUGAAUAACUUUAGGAGUUCAAACUAUAGGUUCACUUAUUUCACGUUUUUCAAUGACUCUCAAAAAUAGAAUUUGCCUCUUCAAUUUGUGAUCCAACAAUUCUCAUCCGCAUGCAUAUGCUUAAUUCAUAAGUAUUCAUUGCUUGGAUACAAUGCCUCUCCGGGGCUUCCAUUGUAACAUCUAGGACAAAAAUCUUAAGAUGAAUUACUUUGAGAAUUGGAUCAUAACCUCCUAUGGAGUGUUAUUUUCACUUAGGGCAUGAACUUUAUUAAUCUCCACUCAUAGGGAGUUCAAAGUUUAAAACCUACAUAUUUGUCAUGCUUUAGACAUGCAACAGAACUAUCAUUGUCACUUGUGACUUAUAUACGGUUUGGAUAAGACAAAUGCGGAUGUAUCAACACUAAUUUUCGACGCUCUUUGAAAAUUGCCACUUCUCCCCCUAACAUCGGGAAUAUUGUUUCAUGGGAGCAAUCAUUGUAAGGAUGUACACAAUGCAUUAUCUUGGGGCCUCAGAAUAUGUCCAUACAAAUUUGUAAAAAAUCCUACACGUUAUUUUGAUGUUAAAUUACCAAGAUAAUCAUGAUAUGAUUUGGUCAGCGAAGUCCUGGUUCAUGACAAGCAUACACUACUUAUAUGAUUGUACGAUACAACUCAUAAAAGAAGGUAGAAGCUUCUUUUGGGAAAAUUGAACUGAAUAGAAUUGAAAUACAAUUCAAGAUAGAAAUAAAUUCAACUAACGAAUUCAUAACAACAUAAGAAAAUUAAAAUAAACAAAAUCAAUCAACAUAAUAAAAUUAAAUGAAGAGCCAAGCUACCGGGUUUCAAGGUGGGAGAUAAAACUCAACCACUAAAAAUGAAAUAAAAUGAUUUUUCCAUAUGUAGGGAGAAGUCUUAUACCUCACAGUGGGAUAUAUCCACUGAGUUCAAACUUAUGGGAGAUUGAAAAAUUGUCUUAACCAUUUUUUACUGUUUUAAUCAAGACUUGGUAAAAAUACACCAAACGUUUGAUGUGUGGCAGAGUUGUGCUUAAUGCCUAAUUUCAAUAUUAUAAGUACUAUAAAAAAAAAUUGUAUGGUUUAGUUAUGCAAUUAAAACUCGAGGAACCGUAGGCCCUCAAUUAUUUAGAAUCAAUGAACUUUAGGUUUCAGUUCAUUUCAAUAAUUUGUAAUCUAGGAUGUGUAAUUUCAUUCCUAGUCACAAACAAAUUUAUCUUAUCAGAGUCAAGAAAAAAAAAAAUACUCAACGUGUGAUGGGACCACUGAGUCUUACAUAUACCCAUUUGGCUUUGGUUGCAAUGAACAGUAUGCUCCCAAUUGCUUGAAUAUUUAAAUUCAUGUUAUAUGAGGUUGCAUGCCCUCCUAUGAUCAAUGGACUAAAGUUCGGUUCUCGUUAUAAGAUGAGAAUUAGAGGGACUAAAGUAUGUAUGAUACAAUCAAUGGACUAAAGUACGGUUCACAAUUUCAACUAUAUGUAGAAUUACAAAAUUUUUUAGUAAAAUAGUUUGUAUUGUUUUUAACAGAAUCAGUUUUCAACCUACAAACUCGCAAGAUCCAGGCCGCCAGAAUCCCCAAUACCAGUCAUCAAACUCGAGAUGCAGCUUGCGACUCAAUCACCAUCGAGCUUUAGCCAACACAAGGUUGCCACCACUUUUAGUUCGUAACUCGCAUCCACGACAUGUCUUUGAAACAAAAAUUGCAAUGGCUUUCAAUAAUCCAAAACUUGUUCUCCUUCUGCAACUCGCAAAAACUAAGCUCCAGCCCACUGAAACUUUAAAAAUCCAAGGUCAUACGCACCUUGCCUCAAGCUCGUCGCCACAACCCGCAUUGUCAGCCUUUCGUCAGCCCAUUUCAAGUAUGCAAACAACAUGGCGUAGCCUCGGCAAUUUGCACAUCAG